This 428-nucleotide ribosomal RNA is filed under the name uncultured bacterium. RNAcentral describes it as "bacterial SSU rRNA". It matches the Rfam family "Bacterial small subunit ribosomal RNA", at positions 355 to 774 of the family's 1533-position model. The record is from RNAcentral.
UGAGGAAUCUUGCGCAAUGGGGGAAACCCUGACGCAGCCACGCCGCGUGGGUGAAGAAGGUCUUCGGAUCGUAAAGCCCUGUCAGGUGGGAAGAACCGCAGUCGGGUGAAUAAUCUGGCUGCCUGACGGUACCACCAAAGGAAGCACCGGCUAACUCCGUGCCAGCAGCCGCGGUAAUACGGAGGGUGCAAGCGUUGUUCGGAAUUACUGGGCGUAAAGCGCGUGUAGGCGGCCUGAUAAGUCAUAUGUGAAAGCCCUCGGCUUAACCGGGGAAGUGCAUCUGAUACUGUCAGGCUUGAGUCCUGGAGAGGGUUGUGGAAUUCCCGGUGUAGAGGUGAAAUUCGUAGAUAUCGGGAGGAACACCAGUGGCGAAGGCGACAACCUGGACAGAGACUGACGCUGAGACGCGAAAGCGUGGGGAGCAAACA